UGGGGAAUUUUGGAUAAUGGGCGAAAGCCUGAUCCAGCCAUGCCGCGUGAGUGAAGAAGGCCUUUGGGUUGUAAAGCUCUUUUAGUCGGAAAGAAAGAGUUGCAAUGAAUAAUUGUGAUUUAUGACGGUAUCGACAGAAAAACGCACCGGCUAACUACGUGCCAGCAGCCGCGGUAAUACGUAGGGUGCGAGCGUUAAUCGGAAUUACUGGGCGUAAAGGGUGCGCAGGCGGUCUUGCAAGUCAGAUGUGAAAGCCCCGGGCUUAACCUGGGAAUUGCGUUUGAAACUACAAGGCUAGAGUGCAGCAGAGGGGAGUGGAAUUCCGAUGUGUAGCAGUGAAAUGCGUAGAGAUGUGGAAGAACACCGAUGGCGAAGGCAGCUCCCUGGGUUGACACUGACGCU
Molecule: ribosomal RNA, 402 nt
Filed under: uncultured bacterium
Lineage: Bacteria
Description: bacterial SSU rRNA
Rfam family: Bacterial small subunit ribosomal RNA
Source: RNAcentral